AACGAACGCUGGCGGCAUGCCUAACACAUGCAAGUCGAACGAGACCUUCGGGACAAGUGGCGCACGGGGGCGGAACGCGUGGGAAGCUGCCGGUAGGCUCGGAAUAACACUCCGAAAGGGGGGCUAAUACCGGAAAACGUCUUCGGACAAAAGAUUCGUCGCCUUUGGAUGAGCAGGAGAUGUAUGAGCUAGUUGGUAGGGUAAAAGCCGACGAAGGCGUCGAUCCAUAGCGGGGCUCAGAGGAUGAUCCGCCACACUGGGACUGGGACACGGCCCAGACUCCUACGCGAGGCAGCAGUGGGGAAUAUUGCACAAUCGGCGGAAGCCUGAUCCAGCACUGCCGCGUGAGUGAUGAAGGUCUUAGGGUUGUAAAGCUCUUUUACCCGGGAUGAUACUGACAGUACCGGGAGAAUAAGCUCCGGCUAACUCCGUG
This 433-nucleotide ribosomal RNA is filed under the name uncultured bacterium. RNAcentral's name for it is "partial 16S ribosomal RNA". It matches the Rfam family "Bacterial small subunit ribosomal RNA", at positions 29 to 507 of the family's 1533-position model. The record is from RNAcentral.